Molecule: ribosomal RNA, 253 nt
Filed under: uncultured bacterium
Lineage: Bacteria
Description: partial 16S ribosomal RNA
Rfam family: Bacterial small subunit ribosomal RNA
Source: RNAcentral
UACGUAGGGACCGAGCGUUGUCCGGAAUCAUUGGGCGUAAAGAGCGUUUAGGCGGCCUUUUAAGUCCUGCGUGAAAUCCUGCGGCUCAACCGCAGACGGUCGUGGGAAACUGGAAGGCUAGAGUGCCGGAGGGGAGAGUGGAAUUCCCGGUGUAGCGGUGAAAUGCGCAGAUAUCGGGAAGAACACCCGUGGCGAAGGCGGCUCUCUGGAACGCAACUGACGCUGAGACGCGAAAGCGUGGGGAGCAAACAGG